RNAcentral lists this small RNA (82 nucleotides) under Acanthamoeba castellanii mamavirus. Its description in RNAcentral is "unknown". The record is from RNAcentral. Lineage: Varidnaviria; Bamfordvirae; Nucleocytoviricota; Megaviricetes; Imitervirales; Mimiviridae.
CACAAAACAUAGUAUAAGAUUUUUUAGCCAUAAAACAUUGUUGGUCUUCUUAUCCUUUAAUAAAUUUGGUUUGAAUCUAAAC